GACGAACGCUGGCGGCGUGCUUAACACAUGCAAGUCGAACGGAAAGGCCCUGCUUUUGUGGGGUGCUCGAGUGGCGAACGGGUGAGUAACACGUGAGUAACCUGCCCUUGACUUUGGGAUAACUUCAGGAAACUGGGGCUAAUACCGGAUAGGAGCUCCUGCUGCAUGGUGGGGGUUGGAAAGUUUCGGCGGUUGGGGAUGGACUCGCGGCUUAUCAGCUUGUUGGUGGGGUAGUGGCUUACCAAGGCUUUGACGGGUAGCCGGCCUGAGAGGGUGACCGGCCACAUUGGGACUAAGAUACGGCCCAGACUCCUACGGGAGGCAGCAGUGGGGAAUAUUGCAAAAUGGGCGGAAGCCUGAUGCAGCAACGCCGCGUGCGGGAUGACGGCCUUCGGGUUGUAAACCGCUUUCGCCUGUGACGAAGCGUGAGUGACGGUAAUGGGUAAAGAAGCACCGGCUAACUACGUG
RNAcentral lists this ribosomal RNA (468 nucleotides) under uncultured bacterium. Its description in RNAcentral is "partial 16S ribosomal RNA". It matches the Rfam family "Bacterial small subunit ribosomal RNA", at positions 28 to 507 of the family's 1533-position model. The record is from RNAcentral.